ACCCACCAUUGGUACCAAACAUGGUUUAUUAUGAUAACAAAAAAAUUCUUAACCAUCCCCCAUUUUGAUGGAGUUUUCCAGCAUCAGUUUUCAUGUGAUGGCUCUGGGUAUCAUCGGUCUUUUGCCUCUCAACAUUUAGCUACAUGUUUAAGAAUAACAAGUUCAGGUCAACCAGACAAGGUGCUUCUCUUUUCCUCUUCUCGAAUUGUCUUGUUUCCUCCACCUCCCUCCCAGAAUCCUGUCAUGCACCCUUACUGCUUCAGUGGGUGCUCCCCUGUAUGGCUGGCAGCCUCUUCUCUGUUCUACCAGAUGUCCCCCUAAAUUUGUUCUUUUACAUUUAUUUUAUUUUAUGUGUAUUUUUUUUGCCUGUAUAUAUGUACGUAUACUACAUGAACACCCGGUGUCCAUGGGGGUCAGAAGAGGGCAUUAGGUCCUCUAGAACUGGAGUUACAUAUAGUUGCCAAUCAGCAUGUGGGUCCUGGGGGCUGGACCUGAAUCCUUUGCAAGAGUGACAGGUACUCUUAACCACUGAGUCAUCUCAGGAGUCCAAGACUUCCUUUCUUUUGGAUGUUGUUCACCACAUCACUUCUUUGUUGCUUAAAACACAUUCAAUGGCUUUCUUAAGAAAAGAUUACUGGAAAUGAGUAUUUUGAUGUCUCAAUUAUGUUAAAUGUAUUUACUUACUAUUUUGGAGACUGUACAGCUGAGAAUAGAACUCUGAGUGAACAAAUCACUUUAUUUAGAAUACUGCAAGGAAAUAUUUUUCUUGAUUUUCUUUUUUCUUUGGGCAAUACUAAAGACUGAACUUCACAGGCACACUGCAAGAACUCUUGUUCUGCCUCGGAGCCACACCCCCAUUCUCCAAAUCACACCCCAUCCAUCAAGCCACGCCCCCCGCCCCUCCAGCUCUUAUUUUUAGUUCUCUGUGUCUCUGCUGAGGAAUCUUACAGAACUCCUGUUUCUGGUUUUAUUUUGUGAUAUAACCAAUCUACAAGAAAAACCCUAAGGCAAGAAUAAUGGGUACCUGAAAACCACACACAUGAUCAUUUUACUGUGACCAUCAUGUUUGCUUUCAGUUGCUGUGAUAAACACUGACCCAGAGCAGCUAAGAGGAAGAAGGGGUUUACUUCAUUUUUACAGCUUACGGCCCAUAUCAAGGGAGAUCAAGGCAGGAGCUGAAGAAGAAACCACGGAGGAAUCUCCAAAAUAAGAGAAUAAAAUCAGACCGUGCUGAAAGCACAGCUAAGACUGUGACCCCGUAGGAGUCAGACAGAGCAAGAAGAACCUGAAUCAUGAUUCCGGAAACUAGGCUAAGGGUCAAAAAACAGCUGAGCUACUGAUCAACCAAAGGAGCAGCUGAUAAAUUCCCAGUUCCAGUCUUGAGGGAACAGCAUGGAAGAGGAGGCCCUUGAAUGUGUUUCUCCUUUGCAAACUGGAAACUGUUUCCUACUGAAGUUGUCUGCAGAGUUGUGUCAUCCAGGAUGACCACACGGAGGCACUGAGUUGGUCAGCAAGGUCAAUACUGGCUUGAGAGCAAGGUGGGUGAACUUCACUGCCCCUGUAUGGCUAUUCAGGCAGGCUGGUCACUCAACAAAGGUAGGCUAUUGCUUUGGUAAGAGGUGGCUAGUGAGGGGCUGUUCUGUGAGCAGUGCCCCUAGGUACCUGUCCAUCACUCCCACAUCUCCAGCCCCCGUUGCAGACCUACUCUGUGGAGCUGCAGAUGGAGAAUACAGAGUUUGACCAAAUGGCUUCAUGAAAAUGUUCUCACGGAGCGAUGACUUGGACAGCUAUGGGCAGGUUAGGAGACCGUGGGCAUGGUAAGGCUCUGUCACCAUUCUUGGGACUAAAGGACAGGGAGGGAAUAGUGGCCCAAGAGCGGAGUGAAAACCAGAACCAGGGAAGAAGUAAAGGAAAACAGAGACAGCUAGAAAGAUGGUAUCGUAGCAAACAGGAAGUAGAGAAAAAAAUAUCCUAGCCUUUCUCUCACUUUGCCUCUUCUCUCCCAGGUUUUAAGUCUAUUUAGAAACCAAAAGGCAGAGGAUCCUGGGCCCCAGUAUUUGCAGGGUUCAGUCUUAUAACCAGGAGCAAGGAGGAUGAGAAAGACUAGGGAAAGGUGGUGCUGGUAGUGGAGAACCACCCAUGUAUUGGUUACUUUUCUAAUUGCUGCAACAAAAUAGCCAACAAAAGGGGGGAAUUGCUUUGAGGAAUAGUUUGAGGACAGAUUUCAUCACCAGGGAAGGAAUGACAGAAGGCGAAGAAGGCAGCUAGUCACAUUGUGUCCACAGUGAGGAAACAGGUGAACACUAGUACUUAGUGUGCUUUCUCCUUUUGAUUCAGACUAGGACCUGGACUUAGGGAAUGGUGCCACCCACUUUGAGGGUUGGUCUUCCCAUCUCAAUCCAAUCUAGACCCUGCCAUAUUGCCAUUACAACUUCAAAACUGCCCUCUUCAUCUGCUGCCCUUGCUGCUGACUGAGAGAUGUCUCCCAGAGGUCAGCCUGCAUCUGGGGCUUUGCUCAGCCCUCUCCCAGUGUAUGCGCACUGAUCUUCCAGGGAGGUUCGCCCAUGCUCAGAACAAGCACAGAAACUUCUCUUAAGGCCAAAUACAAAUGGCUUUUGGAUUUCUCACCAUUUGGCUUCAUUAUUUGCACCAUUGCUUCUGUCUAUCACUGAGGAGAGCCGGGAGGUAUUUGGAUUGUCCUUGGCUUUCCAGGAUGACCUUGUAUAGGGCCGAUUACAAAGGGCUCACAAAGAUGUGUGAAUGUCACUUCACUCUUCACUCUGGCUCAGCAAAGCUUAAUCUUUGGCUUGUUACUGGAACCCUGAACUGAAGAACCUGUCACUGCACAUGGGUCUCACACGCCAAAGGGUUCAGUGGGGCCUGACAGUAAAAGAAUGAGCAUAGGCUGUGAACACCAGGGAAAUGUCUCCAGACGAGCAGGGGGAGGAGAUUUGAGCCUAUCUGUGCCAGCUGGAAGAAAAACCCAAAUAAUGGGAAAGAGGAGAUGUCACGGAGGCCCCAGGUAUAUUGAAUCAAGUUCAAGUCAGAGUAUGCAGGCUAGGGUUAGACUCAGAUAUGUAGAAGGUCUCAAUGGGGCCAAGGAGCUGGAACCCCAAGCCUCUUGCUCACUCCCACAGGAGCUCAGGUUUCUGGACACAUCGUCCCUGUGGACUGAGAUCCACCACCCAGCCCUGGAGAGGCUGAGAGCUGAUCUGUGCUCAGCAAUGGUGGACAGACACAAUGGUGGGGAAGUCACAUUGGAGGAGAAACAAGUGUCCCUAAGCUUAGAUGGCUUCAGUCAGGCCCCUAUUAGGGCUUUGUGACGCUGGAGGGGGCCCCUGUACCCCCAGGACUCCCUCUACUUAUCGUCAGCGAGGCCUCACCUUUCUUUCCCAGUCCCCUUUGAAUCCUCACUCUCUUUUGACGAGGAAACUUCAUUGGCUCGAAGGUGGGAAGGCAACAGAAGCACCAGUCUGUGAAUUCUGAUUAAAAUCUGUCGGUGAGGACAGGGGUUCUCACUCUGCUCAAAUCCAGGUUUGAUUCAUGUGCUCGUUCUAGACCCUGCAUUCUUCCCAGAACAAUAUGAUGCUCUGAUGGGUUGGAGUGGGAGUACAGGUACCUCCACCCCGACAAUGCAGAAUGACAGUGGGGAUUAUUGCCGGAAGGACGAGGAAGAUGAUCUCAGGUGUGGCCUCUGUAGCCUUGGGUCCCUCUCUACAGCUUUGAAGCCCUCUGCUUCUAACUCCCACGAUUACCUUCAUUUAUUUAUUUAUUUAUUUAUUUAAUGCAUAUGAGUACACUGUAGCUAGCUGUCUUCAAGCAUACCGGAAGAAGGCAUCAGAUCCCAUUACAGAUGGUUGUGAGCCACCAUGUGGUUGCUGGGAUUUGAACUCAGGACCUCUGGAAGAGCACUCAUCUCUCCAGCUCUACAAUUCCCUUCUUAAAUUCAGAUCUGGUCCCUGGCACCUCCCCUUUAAGGAGGAAUCAUCCAGGUGGCCUAUUUACAUAACAAUCACUCCUGGACACUCAAAGAGUAAAGAUCUCUGGGCUUUUCAGAGCUCAGGAGGGGAGAUGUAUACAUACAUAUCUUGAGUUGGCACCAUCUGCCUUUUUAGGGGUCUGGUGCCUGAAAAUGAAAAUUUGGAGUUUCACAGUUGUGUUCAGGGGAACACAUGAAAAGAAUCUGGCAGGUCUGGGCUUCCUGGUUAGAGAUCUUAUCAGGAUUUUUCCUGGAACCCAGCUCUGUUAUUCUCCACUGUUAGAAUCCAAGGCUUCCCUCUUCCAAGUUAGGUGCUGGGCCAAGUAUCAAGCCCCCGCAGACAGGACAUUUUAUGCAAUUUCACUUUCCAUAGUGCAAAGCUUAAUUAGGGGCUGAUGGGAGAACUGCUGUGCAGACCACAAGAGUGAAUGACAAUAGUUCCAUGAAAAUGUGGACCCACCCCUCAGGCUGUGAGCUCUUGAGAUCAGAGGCUCUUUAACACUUCACAUAUCAUCAGCGAUAGCCCUACCACUGAUCUGACACCCAUUAUAGCUUGGUCCCUUUCUUGCCUGGCUCUUAAGUGACUGCAAGGCAUUAGUUAUACCUUACAGGCUUUGCUGUGCUUUCUUUUAAAAAAAAAAACUUAAAUUUUGCUUCCGACCACAAAUGACAAUAUAUAUUAAUUAUAGAAAUUUGAAAAAAACUCAAUGCAGGAAAAAGGAACAAUUAUAAAAUGUUUAUGUAAUUUCUGUUAGCCUGUGCAUAUAGUUGUUUUAAAAAGACCACUUCAUGUAAGUAUCUACCUUUCUCUUGAAGUACAUUUUUCUGUACCAUUCUUCCAUACCCUUCAGGACUGACUUCCCUGCUUUCCGUUGCAUUUAACUUAUGCCCAUCCCCACCCCAUAGCAAAUACUAUAAUGAGUGUAGGGGAAAGUCUGUGCAAGCGCAUGACUGUUUUCUUAGGGUACAUUUGUGCAGGCAGAACUGCUGGACCAUUCACUACGGGUGUUCUUACAGCUUUGGAGGACUGUUGCUAACACAUCACUCUUUGAUGUCAACAGUUGUCCUUAAUUCUUAGUUCUGGUACCAGGGCUGGCAGCACCACUAAACACUGAGUGGCUCUGAGAUACAUACAUGCCAAGCACCAACCUUGAGAGAUGAGGCUCCCGGGCGUAGUGUUCGUUGCUCAUUACAAAUGAGCCUGUCUUCUAGGAGUUGGCCCUUUCCACCGCUUGUCCAAAUAUUGUGUGUGUGUGUGUGUGUGUGUGUGUGUGUUUGUGUAUGUGUGAGUGUGUGUACUCACAGGUUCCCACAUCUUACAUCUACCUAUAUCCCUCUCUUCCUUGUUUCUUUCAGACAGGGUCUCUCAUUGAACCAGAAGCUCAUGUUUUCAACCAGGCUAGCCCCAGGGAUCUACCUAUAUACAACCCCUCCAAAGCUGGGCUUUCAGACAUGUAUGACCAGCAUAUUUUUGUGUAUGUGGGUGCUAGGGAUUCAAACUCAAGUUCAUAUGCAUAUGACCCCAAGCAAGCACUAUUAUCCAUUGAACCGUCUCUCCAGUCCUAGGCACCCCUAUGAACACUGAGGUGAAUUUGGUUCCCACCUCUUUUGUAUGUAUAUUGUGUGUGUGUGUGUGUGUGUGUGUGUGUAUGUGUGUGUGUGUGUGCGCGUGCAGAUGAUGUUGCACAUGCAUAUGUGUGUGUGCAUUCAUGUGGAGGCCAGAGGUCAUCCUUGGGUGUCCCCAGCCCCCUUGUCCCCCACCCCGAGCCCCUGAUGACUGACACUGUUGGUGCCAUGCAUCUUUGUCUCAUGACUCAGCUUUCAUCCCGAGUCCCCUAGGGAGAGGCUACAGGUCAGAACACCCCUUUCUGAGAGCAAGCCCAUCUCUCUAGAGACUUUGCCAUUUGGAGCUAGUCCAAACAGGAGGAUUAUUUCCCCUCACAGCAGCCUGAUCUCUAGGCCAUAGGGAUUUUCCUGGAAAGUGAGCUGAAGUGCUUUAGCAAGACAUUUUUAUUUUAUUUUAUUUUUUAAACAGAGAGCUGACUAUUUGUGGCCUUUCCAGAUAUCAGCAAUAACUGGCCAAAGGAGAUACUCGCUGGAACAUUCCCUGGGUUGUCCAGGCAAAAGUCACAACUGCUCUGGCCAAUGAGAACGAGAGCUAAUUUGCUCCGAGGCCCUAAUUGGUUGGUGGUGUGAUGACGUGGGUACUAUCUUAAGGCUGUGUUUCUAGCCCCAGCUUGGCAGGCUUCCUUGAGGCAUCUGGCAGCAAUGAUCAACGCCUCUUUUUUUUCAAGGAGGCUCACAAUCGAUUCAUCCACGGACCGCAAGGACAGACUCAUUUAGUAGGACCAACAUGUUUCAAAGAAAUGUAUAUUUUCAUUAACUAGCCUCAAAGCGGUAAUUAUAUGUUCAGAGAACACAGUAAAAUUUUAUUUCUAAAUAUUUGGCAGCGAAAGGUUGAAGGCAGUGUGUGUCCAACAUGCCGCAUGUGUUUUAAAUAAACCCAGCAUCUUCUCCUCCAAAAGGAAGCGGGAUAUACAAUCAUGUAGACUUUUGAAAUUUAAUUUUUAGCAACAGGAUGUGUUUCUAAAUACCACUAACAUAUCAAAAAGAGAAUGUGUAAAGGCUUUAAAAUUGUUAUCAAAGCAAUCGCAAAGCAAAUGAGGCGCCUUUAAUUUUUUUCCCUCUCCUGCCUCCCCCCACUGCCACCCCUUCUUCUCCUAAGCAUAGUGGUGUCUGAACACAAAACUAAUCUCCACUGAGAAUCAAAAGCAGCAGUGGUGUCUUUGCCUGAGAUCCUGCUGAACUUGGACGCUCCCCUGAUCGGAUUCACAGUUUAUAAUCACAGUUAUCACAGAACCAUUAAAAGCCUAUUAACUUGAAUUCCCACAAUUCCUUGAGGGCAAGGGCAAGGAGAGAGAGAGAGAGAGAGAGAGAGAGAGAGAGAGAGAGAGAGAGAGAGAGAGAGAGAAAGGAAAGAGAGCGAG
Long non-coding RNA from Rattus norvegicus (Norway rat), 6966 nucleotides. RefSeq lists it as uncharacterized. Lineage: Eukaryota; Metazoa; Chordata; Mammalia; Rodentia; Muridae. The record is from RefSeq and is a predicted model, not a curated record.